RNAcentral lists this transfer RNA (72 nucleotides) under Candidatus Kaiserbacteria bacterium. RNAcentral describes it as "tRNA-Glu". It matches the Rfam family "tRNA". Rfam says of the family: Transfer RNA (tRNA) molecules are approximately 80 nucleotides in length. Their secondary structure includes four short double-helical elements and three loops (D, anti-codon, and T loops). Further hydrogen bonds mediate the characteristic L-shaped molecular structure. tRNAs have two regions of fundamental functional importance: the anti-codon, which is responsible for specific mRNA codon recognition, and the 3' end, to which the tRNAs corresponding amino acid is attached (by aminoacyl-tRNA synthetases). tRNAs cope with the degeneracy of the genetic code in two manners: having more than one tRNA (with a specific anti-codon) for a particular amino acid; and 'wobble' base-pairing, i.e. permitting non-standard base-pairing at the 3rd anti-codon position. Lineage: Bacteria; Candidatus Kaiseribacteriota. The record is from RNAcentral.
GGCCCUAUCGUCUAUCGGCUAGGACGUGACCUUCUCAAGGUCAAGAGCGGGGUUCGAUUCCCCGUAGGGUCA